AAUCUGGAAUUGGGGGAGGAUUUCUCCUAUGAAGGUGAGUGAUUGUGAAAUUAUUAGUUUUUAGUUUUUUUUAGAGAUUCUUACAAAAGUAUAUCAUAGGCAAUCCGCGGAUCAGAGUUGGUUUAUCAUUUAAUCUGUAAUUUUGUAUCGGGCAUUUUCUGUUAAUUUUUGUUUUUGCAUAAUCUUGAUUAUCGUUAGUCAUGCCCAGAUCUAGGUAAUUUUCUACAAAAUUUGAUCUUGCAACAUAGUUUUGUUGUUUUUUUUCAUAUUCUUCCUUUUACUAGGAGAUUUUACAACAAGGGUCGAUCAAUCAAUCUUCACUACCUCACCAAGUUGUGCACAAAGUACUCGAUUAGAUUCUUAUCUCAAUAUUUGGAUUCAAAAUUUGACAUGAAUUUAAAGUAAAGACAAUUUUGGCUUCAUAUUUUAAAUUUGAAUUAUAUUCGAUUUGGGAUCUGGAUCCUAUCUUUUUUAUUUAUCCGAUUAAGUUUUUGUGAUAAGAUUUUUUUUUUCUUUAGACCCAAAUCUGAUGUCAACCCAAAUGGUUUCACAUAUGAACACAAUUCUAGGAUCUGGAGCGUAAGUAGAUUGUGGUAGGACUAUUAAUUUAGACAGAUCUAAACAUGCCAAUCCAGUAGAUUGUGGUAGGACUAUUAAUUUAGACAGAUCUAAACAUGCCAAUCCACGUCCAACCAUCCCUAUGCACACAAGGUAAAGUUGAUGGUACUUCGGGAAUUCGUAGAUCUUUGAGUUUUAUUUUUUUUGUUUUUAGUUUUGCAUCAAUUUUUUUUUUCUUUAAUCAUAUCCUGAUCUAAGAAGAUUCUUCUCGGUAAAGUUGAUGGUACUUCGGGAAUUCUUUUCUUCGUCGUCAAAUUUAUUAACUUAAAAACACGAGGUAAUUUUUUAUAAUUUUUUUUUUCUUUUUGGAAUUGGACCAAUUUUGAGUGCCCUACUAAAAGAAAAAGAAAAUUGGUUCUGUCACUACACAGUUGAUUUUGUUGUUGUCUUUUUUAAUUAAGAAAAAAACAAAAAAUUCUUCUUUUUCUUAAUACGGAAAUUUUAUUGGUAAACACAAGGAAUUAUAUAAAAGUUAAAACAAGUGUGCUAUAAACUACAUUUUUUGUGUGUACAUGCAUGCGCGCGCUUUUGUUGCUAAAUCGUAAAAAACUAUUUUAAUAGAAUACUUCAUUCUAUUUUUUUUGUGUAUUCUCCAUGGUUUAAUCUUUGAGAUUUAUAAUAGAUCUCUAUAUGCUUAUACAUAUUACCCCAAAAGAUACUAGAUUGUGAUGUGGUUGAGCCAUACUUUGUUACUUAUUCACCCAUCCUUGUCAAGUAUUGUAUUCAGGCUUUCAUUGACAUAUUUGGAUCAACAUACAUUUUGAGAUGCAUACAAUUAGUACCCGAUUCAUAUUCUUAUAUCAACGUUAUCAUCUAAUACUACAACACGUGCAAUAUAAUUGAAAGGUGAAUUGCAUUGCCAUUUAUUAUUUUUUGGACAACGUUGUCAAAUUUAUUUAUUUUGUUGUUUACGUGCUUAUAGAGUUAGCCUACUGCGAAAAAUUGUUAUAAUAGUUUUUGUUAAUGUUAUAUGAUUACACAUCAAGAAAUUAAUGGUUGCAAUUUUUUUAUAGAUGAUUCUAAUAACUUAAAUGGCUAAAAUAGCUCGGCUUUAUCUUACACCGGUUAUUUUGUUUAAAAUAUAGAAGUAAAAAUUGAAAAAAUAUUUUCAUUUUAAUUGUAGGUAAAACUUAUGAACUACAAAUUGUUAAUAUGAUUUAAUAGGAAUUUUAAGAAUACAUUUUAAUAGGUAUUAUAAAAAUUAAAAUAUUAUUCCUAAACAAUUAAAUUCCAUACCUCUUUAAGCUAACUCUUAGAGUCAAGCCUUAAGAAUACAUUUUAAUUCUAAAAUUUGAACUAAUAACUAUUAGUAUUUUAUAAUUUCUACUACAUAUUAGGGUUGCCACAAAAUAUUCACCUAUUAGUUAACAUAUCUUGAUUAUUCAGAUAAUAGUUAUCUGAAGGAUGUUUAUUAGUACCACUCGCCAUUGAAACUUUGAUUGGCAAAGUUGCGUGCAAACCAACAACUGCUAGCUUAGUUGGUGAAGGCAUGCCUCUCCAAGUGGGAGGCUGUGGGUUCAAUUUCUCUUGACUGGGGUUUGAGAAAUUUUACCAAUGGAAUUUUAGGAGAUUCUCCAUGGUGGAUUAGCUAGCCUUCAGGUCUUGUUCGUGGUAGGCCUCAAAGCCCAGGAUUUAUAAGAGAUUGAGGUGAUGUGGCUCCUUAGGUGGAACAAAUCGAAAGCAAAUAUUCGUAGGGUGGCUACUCUGGUAAUGUGGAGGCGGCGUGGAUACUAAGGGUGCAACGAAGCGUAAAAUAGCCUACGUGCCUAGAUUCGGAUGUAACCCUUUGGGGCUUGUGAUGUAGACUUCAGUAAAUGAUAAUGUGGGGAUUAAGGCCAUCGAGGUAGUUUCAGAAGAGAUCGAUGUUGAUGAACCAACACAUGAAGAAGUUUUAAGUUUGUUAGAAGGCAAAUCCCAAGAAGAGAAACCAAAGCUAGUAACAAUCCAAAAAUAAGUUGUACUUUGGUAUGUAUACGAACUUAAGAUAUUAUAUGCCACUAACAACUACACGACCCUAAAGAAAGUGUUCAUGAUGAAUCUAUUUUACAACUGAAACAACAACUGCUAUAGACCUAAACAAAUUUCUCAAAAGUUUUACAUCUAAAACAACAAUUAGAGAACCUUUAUAGAAGGAUGCGUUAAAGUAAUGACGAAACCCCGUAAAAUGUUCUCAAACUCCCUUUCUUAUCAGUGCAAAGCCACAUAUUUAGCAAAUACAUCAAACUUAUUAUGAGAUACAAAUACAAGAAAGUUAAUUGUGAGUGUUUUUGUAACCUUCAAAUGACAAAGAAUUAAGGAUUUUUAUACACGACUUCAGCCGUUACACUUCCUUGGCUUCAUAGCUUUACGACUUUUCCCCUGUUUUAGUUUCUAAACAACAUUCUAAAAGAUAAAUAUGACUGAGCAUAUUAUGUGAAAAACGUAUCUUUCCACCGCAAAGAGUACUAUAUCUACUUUAAGAAGACUUAUUUGUUUAAUCUCGAUUUUAGCACAAAAAAAAAAAAAAAGACCAACACAUCAGUUCAGUGCACUAUGAGAGUAAAACACAUUUGAGAGUUUGUCAUUUAUCUAUAUCUACAUUGUUCCAUUAUUAACACGUUCUCCAUAUCAUCAUCAUACAAUUUAGUGACAAAACAUGGAUAAAUCCACAAAAUCUCAGGACCCCAGAUUUGUUCUUCCAGUUGAUACUGAUAACAAGAUUUUUAUCUUUCUUGGAUAUCACUCUUUGUUUGCUUCGUAUCAACUUUUGUUGCUCAACCACUCAUACGUAUAAUACGGGAUAAUUUAAGUCUAAAUCCACCAAUAUUGAUUUAAAGAUAGCUCAAAGCAAAAGUGAAUGAAGUUGCAAUUGAACUGCAUCAAUCAAGUCAACCAAGGUACAUCACAAGGUAUUUCAAAGGUAGGUGGGUUUCACAGAAGUGCAGAACAUCACAAGAUCAUAAUAAAAAAAAGUAGGUGGGUCCUACAGAUUUUGCCUUUUGAAAACAUCAAAUAGCCACAAAAAGUAGAAAAGACAACAAAAUAAAAUGCGUGAAUACCAUGCUCAGAAGAGAGACAAACAAAAUGCAGAUAAGUUUGCACAUAAUAGUCCAUCCAAAUUUGGUAGGGUUAAAACUUUAGUAUAAUACCUAUUAGAUUGGUAUAUUAUUGAGAUAUUCACCUUAGCCAAGAGCAGGGCAAAGAGGUUGGAAAAACUCAUGCAUCAAUUUCUUUUGGUUCCAUACUAAAAUCAGAAGAAACCAACUCAUUUCAAGAGUUUAAGUAGGUAAUCGUGCAUCAAAGUGAUGCCACCUUAAUCUAGAAGAAAAGAUGAUAUUGCUAACUUGAUGAUGUACCUUUUGGCUAUCACGAUUAUAUGGAGUAGAAAACUUGGGAAGCUAUACAAAAACGGCAUGGGUGCAACAAAGAAUAAAUAGAAUCAUGAAUAAGAAAGAAGAGUCCGCCAAGUUGUGAAAAAGAGAAAGGGUCAUGUUAUAAAAGUUCUCAAUGUGAAGUUUUAUUUAGGUUUAUGGCAUGUACAAUAACUAAUAUUGGUGGAUGUUAGAGUUAAAUUGUCUCGUAUUAUAGGUAUAAGAGGUGGAGCAGCAAACGUUGAUACGAAGCAAGCAAAAAAUGAUAUCCAAGAAAGAUAAAAGGUUUGUUCUCGGUAUCAACUAGAAGAUCAAAUCCGGGGUUCUGAGAUUCUGUCGAUCUUUCCAUUUCAGGUCACUUAAAUGAUAAGAUGUUGUAUGAAGAACUUAUUAAUAUCGUAACAAUGUAGAUAUACAAAAAUGACAAUCUCUUAAAUAUGGUUCACUCUCUUAGUAGAAUCGAUUUGUUAGUCUUCAUUUUUUUUUUUUUUUUUGGCUUGAAAAUUAGAUAAAACUAAUUAACAAGUUUCCUCAAAAUUAUAUAUGGUGUGUUUGCUGUGGUGAAAUACGUUUCCGCAGAAUAUUCUCCAUCAUAUUUAUCUUUCACACUGAUGUUUAAAAACUAAAACAUGGAAAAGCCGAAGAGGCUAUGGAACCAUGGUUGUGUAACAGAUGAAUUCGUGUAUAAAAUCCUCAUUUCUUUGUCAUUUGAUGGUUGGAAAAGCACACAUAGUUAACUUUCUGUGUUGCAUCUCGUAAUAAGUUGAAUGUAUCUGAUAAAUAAAUAAAUGAUUUUACACUGAUAAGAAAGCUCCCCUUGUUGUUGUCUUAGUUGUAACUUCUCAAGGUGAUCAAUUUGUUUAGGCCUAUGCAUUGUGGUCUUAGAUGUAAAAUAGAGUCAUCAUGAACAAUUUGUUUAGGGUCGUGUAGUUGUUAAUAUCGUAACCAUGAGUAUAACUUUUUGAAUCUUCCAUCUUCCAAAUCUUCCAUCCAUAACUCUUUUUUUUUAACAAAAUAUAAAAAGAAGCCGAUAAGCAUAAAAGUCACCUAUUUGAGUUAUAAUUAAUUUCAAUUUUCGGAAUUCGGCCAAAAUAAAGCUCUGUUAUUAUAGGUAAAGGAGCAACAAAAGAGCUAUGAUAUUAAAAAAAUAUGGAAGGUGGCAGUCAUGCAUCUAUUACCUCCAAAACUUACCCAACUCGAAAAAAUUGUCUUGGUUUGUUAUGACUAUCAAAGGCUAAUAUCCAGUCAUUUAUGCGUGAAGCAUAUAUGAAUUGAAAGCUUGCUUUAAAUAAUCUGAAAGAGAAAAAAAAAAAGUGCAAAAAAAUAAAGAACAUCGAAGCUUGUCUUGAAAGUACUAUUCAUACACUAAACACAAUAUUCAUAAAUCCAAUUUUAAGUCAUGCCAAAUUUUGUCAAUUAAAAGUAUAAUAAGUUCAAAGAUUAUAAUAUAACUUAUAAGCAACAACCUCCGAUUACAAAAGUUUAUUCAAAGUUAGAUAAAAGAACUAGUACAAUCAUGCCUAAAAGGCUACUUUAAAGACAUGCAAUGGAUGGUUGUAUGCAGAGAUUAGGUCAUAAACAUUGGAUAAAAGCGAACAGGCGAAGGGAGUAGUACAACUGAAUUAUCGACCAAUAUGAACAUAACUUAUACUUAUUGAUCAUAGUAUCAACCUUAAAGCUUAUAUAUUAGUUUGCACAUUAAAGUACUUCUCACUCUAUGAUAUAAAUAUUUUAGAUGACAUCUUUAAGUCCUUCUUUCAUUUGGUGAUGGACAAAACAUCUUCAGAUUUUUUGCAUCAUACACCAUCUUUUCAGCCAUCUAUAUAAGAUUAGAUAUAUCUCAUGGUUACCCCCUCCACCUAUGUGGCUCAAGUUGAAUAUAAAUGGUGCUUCAAAUGAUAAUAUUGUUGUUAUAAGACUGGUUAUUUGUAAUGAGUUUGGAUGUUUUUAUGCAGGACUUGGGAAACAUGUAGGAAACUGUAACAAUAAUAUUGCAGAAUGGUGGGCUCUUCUGGAAGGACUAAAGUUUUUGAAAAGUGACAACAAGUGAUUAUAGAAACUGACUCGUCUUUUGUGUAUAAUAUAAUUAACAGAGGAUUUAAGUUUGCUUGGUACUUUACAAAUAUUUUACAAGAGUGUAGGUCUUUGCUACAGAGUAGUUUGAUAGCCAGUUAGACAUAUUUUGAGGGAAGGAAAUUAAGUGGUUGAUUGCUGGCCAAGAGAGGGAUGUGAGGUGCACAGGGAAGCUAGUUCACAACCACUAUGUUAAUAGUGUCUUCCCUAGGUACUCCUAAGUUUGUAAUGUGUUU
RNAcentral lists this long non-coding RNA (6277 nucleotides) under Aquilegia coerulea. Its description in RNAcentral is "long non-coding RNA (ACOE_LNC002133)". Lineage: Eukaryota; Viridiplantae; Streptophyta; Magnoliopsida; Ranunculales; Ranunculaceae. The record is from RNAcentral.